GACGAACGCUGGCGGCGUGCUUAACACAUGCAAGUCGAACGGAAAGGCCCUGCUUUUGUGGGGUGCUCGAGUGGCGAACGGGUGAGUAACACGUGAGUAACCUGCCCUUGACUUUGGGAUAACUUCAGGAAACUGGGGCUAAUACCGGAUAGGAGCUCCUGCUGCAUGGUGGGGGUUGGAAAGUUUCGGCGGUUGGGGAUGGACUCGCGGCUUAUCAGCUUGUUGGUGGGGUAGUGGCUGACCAAGGCUUUGACGGGUAGCCGGCCUGAGAGGGUGACCGGCCACAUUGGGACUGAGAUACGGCCCAGACUCCUACGGGAGGCAGCAGUGGGGAAUAUUGCACAAUGGGCGGAAGCCUGAUGCAGCAACGCCGCGUGCGGGAUGACGGCCUUCGGGUUGUAAACCGCUUUCGCCUGUGACGAAGCGUGAGUGACGGUAAUGGGUAAAGAAGCACCGGCUAACUACGUG
RNAcentral lists this ribosomal RNA (468 nucleotides) under uncultured bacterium. Its description in RNAcentral is "partial 16S ribosomal RNA". It matches the Rfam family "Bacterial small subunit ribosomal RNA", at positions 28 to 507 of the family's 1533-position model. The record is from RNAcentral.